This 72-nucleotide transfer RNA is filed under the name Candidatus Brocadiia bacterium. Its description in RNAcentral is "tRNA-Thr". It matches the Rfam family "tRNA". Rfam says of the family: Transfer RNA (tRNA) molecules are approximately 80 nucleotides in length. Their secondary structure includes four short double-helical elements and three loops (D, anti-codon, and T loops). Further hydrogen bonds mediate the characteristic L-shaped molecular structure. tRNAs have two regions of fundamental functional importance: the anti-codon, which is responsible for specific mRNA codon recognition, and the 3' end, to which the tRNAs corresponding amino acid is attached (by aminoacyl-tRNA synthetases). tRNAs cope with the degeneracy of the genetic code in two manners: having more than one tRNA (with a specific anti-codon) for a particular amino acid; and 'wobble' base-pairing, i.e. permitting non-standard base-pairing at the 3rd anti-codon position. The record is from RNAcentral. Lineage: Bacteria; Pseudomonadati; Planctomycetota; Candidatus Brocadiia.
GCUGCAGUAGCUCAGUGGUAGAGCACCUCCUUGGUAAGGAGGGGGUCAUGGGUUCAACCCCCAUCCGCAGCU